Molecule: non-coding RNA, 805 nt
Organism: Macaca mulatta (Rhesus monkey)
Lineage: Eukaryota; Metazoa; Chordata; Mammalia; Primates; Cercopithecidae
Source: the annotation of a RefSeq genome assembly
CUCAUAGAGAAGUGCGAGAUAACACACACUAGUGUGCUAUACCAGGAAACCUCUGUUUCCUGUUCUAGGGCAGCAGUAGCAGCAGCACAUGGCCCAGUAAUUCUUCUCCCACCAUGCCAGGUUCACCUCACAGUGCAGAGUCCUGAAAAUAAAGAAGAAGAUUUUUUUUUGUCUAGAAAAAGAAUCAAACAUGUUACUUUCUAGCCUGCUGAAGGUGGUCACAGCUUCACUCUGGCUAGGAUCUGGCAUUGCCCAGAAGAUAACUCAAACCCAACCAGCAAUGUUCGUGCAGGAAAAGGAGGCUGUGACUCUGGACUGCACAUAUGACACCAGUGAUCAAAAUUACGGUCUAUUCUGGUACAAGCAACCCAGCAGUGGAGAGAUGAUUUUUCUUAUUCUUCAGAUGUCUUAUGACAAGCAAAAUGCAACAGAAGGACGCUACUCAUUGAACUUCCAGAAGGCAAGAAAAUCCGUCAACCUUGUCAUCUCUGCUUCACAAGUGGGGGACUCAGCAACGUAUUUCUGUGCAAUGAGAGGGCACAGUGAGAGAACCGUCGGAGGGAGGUGUACAAAAGCCCCGGGGACCUGCUUGAGACCUCCAUCUGCUGGAGAACCAAGGCGGGAAAUCAACAUCACAGACAGGAAGUGGCUACAGCUGUGGCAGCACAGAGGCAGUGUUGUAGGAAAUACACUCACUCUAAGAAAACACCUCUUUAAGUUCACAGACCAUGAUCAAAAUUAUCAUUAAUUAAAAACUUUCUUAUCUCUGAAUCUUUGGUUUAAAGUUAGACAUAUCAAAUUUGUG